This 633-nucleotide small RNA is filed under the name Histoplasma capsulatum. RNAcentral's name for it is "hypothetical RNA". The record is from RNAcentral. RNAcentral also lists the same sequence under 1 other name. Lineage: Eukaryota; Fungi; Ascomycota; Eurotiomycetes; Onygenales; Ajellomycetaceae.
CCCCCAACGAGCCCCAAUUCGAUAUCCAAUCUACACAAGCAGGAAGAAAUAACAACAGCGCGGAAUAAAAGACUGCAAUUUUCGACCUACUUAUUGCGAUCUAUUAUUAUAUACAGGCCCUUUGCACUCCCGGUACCUAUCGAUAACCAAAAACGACCAUGAUUAAUCCUUCCGACUUGCGAUUUUUCCAAUUUACCAAACCAUCCAGCGCCCGAUAAACCAACUCCCACAAAUUCAUCGCGGAUUAAAAGGAUUUCAAAAAUAAGACUUUUCAAAGUACAGAAUGGCUGGUGCAGCAGAGUGGCGGCUAGACCUUUGGAGCCCCAGCAGAUGAUAUCAGUUGAUCUGAUCUCGCUUUUUUUUAUUCCUCCAGACUUCCAAUUCUUGUGCUUAGUAGGCGUAUCCGCUUCCUAAUAUGCUUUGCCUUAUACGUGGGCGAAGCCAGAUAUUUUUUGUGAUUAUAGGACCAGGUCCCCUUCUUUUAAAUUGAGACAAUAGUUUUCCCCCUCGAAUUCUGCAUUUUCCCAGAUGCAGGACAUUCAAUACCUAUAUUGACACGGCAUAACAAACCAUAGAUCUAGCGCCUAUAGAUGUCUAUAGACAUCUAGUCUCUAAUUCCUUUCUUCAUUGAUA